RNAcentral lists this ribosomal RNA (524 nucleotides) under uncultured bacterium. Its description in RNAcentral is "partial 16S ribosomal RNA". It matches the Rfam family "Bacterial small subunit ribosomal RNA", at positions 28 to 523 of the family's 1533-position model. The record is from RNAcentral.
GACGAAUGCUGGCGGCGUGCCUAAUACAUGCAAGUCGAACGAAGCUGUUUUAACUGGUGCUUGCACCGACUUAAACAACUGAGUGGCGAACGGGUGAGUAACACGUGGGUAACCUGCCCCAAAGCGGGGGAUAACAUUUGGAAACAGAUGCUAAUACCGCAUAACCACAGAAACCACAUGGUUUCUGUGUCAAAGAUGGUUUCGGCUAUCACUUUGGGAUGGACCCGCGGCGUAUUAGCUAGUUGGUAAGGUAAUGGCUGACCAAGGCAAUGAUACGUAGCCGAACUGAGAGGUUGAUCGGCCACAUUGGGACUGAGACACGGGCCAAACUCCUACGGGAGGCAGCAGUAGGGAAUCUUCCACAAUGGACGAAAGUCUGAUGGAGCAACGCCGCGUGAGUGAAGAAGGUUUUCGGAUCGUAAAACUCUGUUGUCAGAGAAGAACGUGUGCGAGAGUAACUGUUCGUGCAGUGACGGUAUCUGGCCAGAAAGCCACGGCUAACUACGUGCCAGCCGCCGCGGUAA